RNAcentral lists this ribosomal RNA (497 nucleotides) under uncultured bacterium. Its description in RNAcentral is "partial 16S ribosomal RNA". It matches the Rfam family "Bacterial small subunit ribosomal RNA", at positions 28 to 507 of the family's 1533-position model. The record is from RNAcentral.
GACGAACGCUGGCGGCGUGCCUAAUACAUGCAAGUAGAACGCUGAAGAGAGGAGCUUGCUCUUCUUGGAUGAGUUGCGAACGGGUGAGUAACGCGUAGGUAACCUGCCUUGUAGCGGGGGAUAACUAUUGGAAACGAUAGCUAAUACCGCAUAACAAUGGAUGACACAUGUCAUUUAUUUGAAAGGGGCAAUUGCUCCACUACAAGAUGGACCUGCGUUGUAUUAGCUAGUAGGUGAGGUAAUGGCUCACCUAGGCGACGAUACAUAGCCGACCUGAGAGGGUGAUCGGCCCCACUGGGACUGAGACACGGCCCAGACUCCUACGGGAGGCAGCAGUAGGGAAUCUUCGGCAAUGGGGGCAACCCUGACCGAGCAACGCCGCGUGAGUGAAGAAGGUUUUCGGAUCGUAAAGCUCUGUUGUAAGUCAAGAACGGGUGUGAGAGUGGAAAGUUCACACUGUGACGGUAGCUUACCAGAAAGGGACGGCUAACUACGUG